This 693-nucleotide unclassified non-coding RNA is filed under the name Trichinella patagoniensis. RNAcentral describes it as "partial miscellaneous RNA". Lineage: Eukaryota; Metazoa; Nematoda; Enoplea; Trichinellida; Trichinellidae. The record is from RNAcentral.
GGAACACGCAGUGUCGUAGACUUUUUCCAUCAACUGGUAUGCCAAUAAAUUUAUUUUCCAAUAAAUAAUAUUUAAUAAAUUGCAAUAACAAUCGUCUAUGAAAUUGAACAUUGACUAAAACGUGCUUCUGAUUGACCAGAAAGAUGAUUUAUCCAAAAAUUCUGUGCAUCAACUGAAAUGUUUCGAUGAAUAUAAACUUUCUCCUCCACUGCAUUUUUCAUACAGCUUGAUUGGCGUACAAUAAUUUUGGUAUUCAAUCAAUUGAAAAGCAAUUCCAGUAAAUUUGGACAAAAUGUAAAAUUAGUAGUUCAUAAUUUUAGCUGUUUGUUUGUUUGUCCGUUUGAAGCGCCAACAUUGUACAAUUGAUAUUGGAAACAGUACUGGAUUUAUGUAUAUACGAUGGAUAAUUUAUCAUUUGUUCAGUGUAAAAAAUUGAUAUUUCAUGCUGUUGAAUGUGAAAUGGUGCUCGGCUCAUGUACGACGUUCAAAGUAAUCGCUUUGUUGGGCUUCAUUUGGCGGGAAUUGCUUUGGCAAUCAAGUGACCAAACAGAAAUUGAGAACAUAAAAAGUUCCACCAGGCCAAUUGUAAAAAAUGUGCCAAAAUUGCACCGAUGAUAUUGGAAAUGAUAUUUUCGGCCAAGUUGGUUAUAAAAGGAUUGUUGAUUCAUUUAGCAAAUGUCUACGAUCAUACCA